CCUUAGAUUUAUGAUUUGAGAAAAACUGACUUUGUACCUCUCUGUAUUUAAGAGCACAAGCUGCUGAAGCGCUUAUUCCCUGAUCCUAAGGAAUGAGCUAAAUGAAGAAAGGAAUUGCAUGCUACACAGCCUUCUUUUUAUGGAUCAUAGCAGUGGCUCCUGGACUCCAGGAAUGGCUAGAAAAUAUUUUGAAAUCUUAUGGUUUCUCUGCUAUCAUCUGUGAAUAUCAAGUACAACUAGAAGUUUGCAGGAGCAGCACAGAAGGUAAUCUAUUUGGACUACUAUCGAGCACUUGACCUCGUUUUACCCUGGGGUAGUGAGAUUCCCAGACUAUGAAAGCGGUUCUAGGCUGUCAGUCUUCAGCAUCACUGGGUGCCAGCUUUCCUGAAGAGAGACCACCAGGACCACCUUGUUCAUGGUGUGCAGACCCUUCCUAUGUGAGUGUAGUCCAGCUGUGAGCACCACAGUGCUCAUAGGUCAGGGUCACUGGUGAGUUGUACAAUCAGCUUGACCUGGGUAAAAGGCUAUUAUUG
This 533-nucleotide long non-coding RNA is filed under the name Anser brachyrhynchus (Pink-footed goose). RNAcentral describes it as "lncRNA (ENSABRG00000021104.1)". Lineage: Eukaryota; Metazoa; Chordata; Aves; Anseriformes; Anatidae. The record is from RNAcentral.